RNAcentral lists this ribosomal RNA (301 nucleotides) under uncultured bacterium. Its description in RNAcentral is "partial 16S ribosomal RNA". It matches the Rfam family "Bacterial small subunit ribosomal RNA", at positions 509 to 807 of the family's 1533-position model. The record is from RNAcentral.
CAGCCGCCGCGGUAAUACGUAGGUGGUAAGCGUUGUCCGGAAUUAUUGGGCGUAAAGGGCUCGCAGGCGGUUUCUUAAGUCUGAUGUGAAAGCCCCCGGCUCAACCGGGGAGGGUCAUUGGAAACUGGGAAACUUGAGUGCAGAAGAGGAGAGUGGAAUUCCACGUGUAGCGGUGAAAUGCGUAGAGAUGUGGAGGAACACCAGUGGCGAAGGCGACUCUCUGGUCUGUAACUGACGCUGAGGAGCGAAAGCGUGGGGAGCGAACAGGAUUAGAUACCCCAGUAGUCCCUGUCUCUUAUAC